RNAcentral lists this transfer RNA (72 nucleotides) under Ovis aries (sheep). It matches the Rfam family "tRNA". Rfam says of the family: Transfer RNA (tRNA) molecules are approximately 80 nucleotides in length. Their secondary structure includes four short double-helical elements and three loops (D, anti-codon, and T loops). Further hydrogen bonds mediate the characteristic L-shaped molecular structure. tRNAs have two regions of fundamental functional importance: the anti-codon, which is responsible for specific mRNA codon recognition, and the 3' end, to which the tRNAs corresponding amino acid is attached (by aminoacyl-tRNA synthetases). tRNAs cope with the degeneracy of the genetic code in two manners: having more than one tRNA (with a specific anti-codon) for a particular amino acid; and 'wobble' base-pairing, i.e. permitting non-standard base-pairing at the 3rd anti-codon position. Lineage: Eukaryota; Metazoa; Chordata; Mammalia; Artiodactyla; Bovidae. The record is from Rfam by way of RNAcentral.
UCCCUGGUGGCUCAGAGGGUAAAGCAUCUGCCUGCAAUGCGGGAGACCCUGGUUCGAUCCCUGGAUUGGGAA